Molecule: non-coding RNA, 245 nt
Organism: Geobacillus sp. WCH70
Lineage: Bacteria; Bacillati; Bacillota; Bacilli; Caryophanales; Anoxybacillaceae
Source: Rfam
AUUGAAUUAGCUAAUAAAUAUAUCAUCAUAAAGGAGUUUUGGGGAUGGGCACAAUUGUAUGUCAAACAUGUGGUGCGACGAUUGCGUAUUUUGAAGAUGAAAAAGUGACAACGCUUUACGGAAAAUGCUGCGGAUGCGAUUGCGACGAGGCUGAAGAAGAAGGAGAAUAAAGAAAAGGUCAAACGAUGGGGGAAGGUUUGGACAUAGCGCGCAUGUGAAAGGGGCACAUGCGCGCAUUUAUUUUU